This 490-nucleotide ribosomal RNA is filed under the name uncultured bacterium. RNAcentral describes it as "partial 16S ribosomal RNA". It matches the Rfam family "Bacterial small subunit ribosomal RNA", at positions 29 to 505 of the family's 1533-position model. The record is from RNAcentral.
AGUGAACGCUGGCGGUAGGCCUAACACAUGCAAGUCGAACGGCAGCACAGUAAGAGCUUGCUCUUACGGGUGGCGAGUGGCGGACGGGUGAGGAAUACAUCGGAAUCUACUUUUUCGUGGGGGAUAGCGUAGGGAAACUUACGCUAAUACCGCAUACGACCUACGGGUGAAAGCAGGGGAUCUUCGGACCUUGCGCGAUUGAAUGAGCCGAUGUCGGAUUAGCUAGUUGGCGGGGUAAAGGCCCACCAAGGCGACGAUCCGUAGCUGGUCUGAGAGGAUGAUCAGCCACACUGGAACUGAGACACGGUCCAGACUCCUACGGGAGGCAGCAGUGGGGAAUAUUGGACAAGGGGCGCAAGCCUGAUCCAGCCAUACCGCGUGGGUGAAGAAGGCCUUGGGGUUGUAAAGCCCUUUUGUUGGGAAAGAAAAGCAGCAGGUUAAUACCCCGCUGUUCUGACGGUACCCAAAGAAUAAGCACCGGCUAACUUCG